GACGAACGCUGGCGGCGUGCCUAAUACAUGCAAGUAGAACGCACAGUUUAUACCGUAGCUUGCUACACCAUAGACUGUGAGUUGCGAACGGGUGAGUAACGCGUAGGUAACCUGCCUGGUAGCGGGGGAUAACUAUUGGAAACGUUAGCUAAUACCGCAUAAUAUUGAUUAUUGCAUGAUAAUUGAUUGAAAGAUGCUAUUGCAUCACUACCAGAUGGACCUGCGUUGUAUUAGCUAGUAGGGAAGGUAACGGCUCACCUAGGCGACGAUACAUAGCCGACCUGAGAGGGUGAUCGGCCACACUGGAACUGAGACACGGCCCAGACUCCUACGGGAGGCAGCAGUAGGGAAUCUUCGGCAAUGGACGAAAGUCUGACCGAGCAACGCCGCGUGAGUGAAGAAGGUUUUCGGAUCGUAAAGCUCUGUUGUAAGGGAAGAACGGGUGUGAGAGUGGAAGGUUCACACUGUGCCGGUAUCUUACAAAAAAGGAACGGCUACUUCCGU
RNAcentral lists this ribosomal RNA (504 nucleotides) under uncultured bacterium. RNAcentral describes it as "partial 16S ribosomal RNA". It matches the Rfam family "Bacterial small subunit ribosomal RNA", at positions 28 to 506 of the family's 1533-position model. The record is from RNAcentral.